RNAcentral lists this ribosomal RNA (330 nucleotides) under Triticum aestivum (bread wheat). RNAcentral's name for it is "partial small subunit ribosomal RNA". The record is from RNAcentral. Lineage: Eukaryota; Viridiplantae; Streptophyta; Magnoliopsida; Poales; Poaceae.
AUGAGCGACGGCAAGGCCAACCUCGACCUCUCCACCCUCGGUGCCGCCAUCCUGCUCCCGCUUUCGUGCUUGUUCCACGAGUCCUUCAACGAGGGCUUCGAGGGGAGCAGGACCGUCUCCGACAAGGAAGAGUAUGCAGGUGUAUGGAAGCACGAGAAGAGUGAUGGCCAUGAAGACUAUGGUCUCCUUGUUAGCGAGCCUGCCAAGAUAUAUGCCAUAGUCAAUGAGCUUGAUAGUCCUGUUACUUUGAAGGAUGGGAUAGUUGUCCUGCAAUUCGAAGUGAGGCUUCAGAAUGGCCAUACUAUGAUUGGCUUACUCUUCAUGUCUUAA